RNAcentral lists this long non-coding RNA (1802 nucleotides) under Mus musculus (house mouse). RNAcentral's name for it is "long non-coding RNA chr4:140071468-140073270". Lineage: Eukaryota; Metazoa; Chordata; Mammalia; Rodentia; Muridae. The record is from RNAcentral.
AAUGCGGUUUAGUGGCUGGAGUUUACCAACACUGACGGCGUCUCUGAAGGGCGAGUAAUUGUGUUUUUGAAAAGCUGGGAACAGGAGCAGCAGAAACGUUGCCUUUGCCUGUUGGCCUGAGCCUCAUCCAGGUGAGGAUAAGGGCUGGACACUGUGGCUUUCACAGAGUGCGGGGGGGCCCAAGGGCCACAUCUGCACACAGAUUUAGACCUACAGUGUGACCCUCAUCUAGGCCUACUGUGUGAACUACAUCUAGACCUACUGUGUGCCUUAGCAUAUCAGCCUACUCUGUGCUCUGAUAUUUGGAUCAACUGAAUGCCUUGACAUUCAGGUCCACGAUGUGUCCUGGACUUUGGACCUACUGUGUGCCCUGAUCUAUGCCUACAGCAUGUUCUGGUAUCUAGAACAACUACAUGCCCCAGCAUUUAAACCUUUUGUGUGUCCUGCAAGGUUGAGCCUUGCGGUGGGGUGUAGAUACUCAGAUACUCUCUACUGGAGUAUCUUUCUCUUCCCUGUCCCUGUGGAAAGUCUCUAGCCACCACCCCUGACCCCAGCAGUGCACUGGAGUGGUUAAAAAGCAUGCAGGUUAAAACAGGCUGUUGGAUUACUAUGUGAUUCCCAGCUCAGCCCUAGUCCUGCCUUGUAUCUCUUAGGAAAUCAUGUGACUUCUCUCAGGCUCAGUUUCCCCAUCUGUCACACCACUCUCAAAACUAUUGGGAAGAGCGCCAGGGCUCAUCUGAGGACACCACUUAGUACUGGGCCAGCAUGAGUGCCCAGUGACAUAGAUCCUGGGGGUACAUAGAGCUCUCGAGCUGCCUCUGCCAGGAAGGCUGCCCUGACUGCUCAUCCUCUGUGUAGACAGACACAGCUCUUUCCUCUCCUGUCUCACCAUUCACCCACAUUCCCUCCCAGCCCAGAGGUUCUCUGGAAACUUCUUGGCCACUAUCUAAGUGUUCCUGAAUAUCUGGGAGGUCAGGUCAGCCGAAAGCGCUAAGAACCAGGGUCUCUUGUGAACCUGACCAGCUUGUGUUAUCUGCUGAGUCUGUUUGGCCUCCCAGGGCCUCGAUUUUCCAACCUGAAGAUUGGGUGUAGCAAUCAUACCACAUGGAAUUUUAGCUCUAGAGCUGCUGGUCUUUGCAGGUCCACAGUGGAGACUUCGUGACGAGCAUCCCGCUCCCCCUCCCCCACCCCCCGGUUCACUGAAGCUCACUGUAGGGCUGUGACCUCCUGUUCCACAGAUGAGAAAACUGAGGCACACAGACAAGAUGUAGCAUGACCCUCAUCAUGAUGUGAGCAGGUAGGUGCCCUAGUGUGAACUCAGAGUCAGAGGCAGCAGGUAAGGAGGCAGACGCACUCCCUACCCAACUGUGGUCUGCGUUUGCCCCUCAUUCCUUCCUGAGCUGAGCCUGUCACCUCCCUGGGUAACAAGAGCCAUAAGCUCCCUCCCUGCUGGAAAAACAAUGACUUUGUGUUUCUCUAAAUUCUCCUUAAGCUUUCAGGGCGUCCGGGGCAUCACCUGUCAGCCCCUCUGCUCAUCGUUCCUGUUCUGGCUUUGAUUUGCCCUGGGGAAGAGAGCCUCAGCUUCUUCCGGAAACUGGGCAGUGGAUUUAGGAACCUGACCAGGGAAAGGAUGCAGGGUUCGACCCUGUGGCCUUGCUGGGGAACGGGGAAAGCCAGCGGUGGAUCUUUAAAGAGACCCCAUGAAGGAAUGCACAAACACCCAGAGAACUGAGCCUGGCAAGCUCUCAGCGCUUGCCCUACUUUCUCCUAUGCCAUUAAUUGAUUAAAAUUUUAAGACAAAU